RNAcentral lists this ribosomal RNA (496 nucleotides) under bacterium CV05. Its description in RNAcentral is "bacterial SSU rRNA". It matches the Rfam family "Bacterial small subunit ribosomal RNA", at positions 19 to 503 of the family's 1533-position model. The record is from RNAcentral.
AUGGCUCAGGACGAACGCUGGCGGCGUGCCUAAUACAUGCAAGUCGAGCGGAGUUAUUCCUUCGGGGAUAACUUAGCGGCGGACGGGUGAGUAACACGUAGGCAACCUGCCUGUAAGAUCGGGAUAACUACCGGAAACGGUAGCUAAGACCGAAUAAUCAGCUUGGUCGCAUGAUCGAGCUGGGAAAAGCGGAGCAAUCUGCUACUUACAGAUGGGCCUGCGGCGCAUUAGCUAGUUGGUGGGGUAACGGCUCACCAAGGCGACGAUGCGUAGCCGACCUGAGAGGGUGAACGGCCACACUGGGACUGAGACACGGCCCAGACUCCUACGGGAGGCAGCAGUAGGGAAUCUUCCGCAAUGGACGCAAGUCUGACGGAGCAACGCCGCGUGAGUGAUGAAGGUUUUCGGAUCGUAAAGCUCUGUUGCCAGGGAAGAACGCUUGGGAGAGUAACUGCUCUCAAGGUGACGGUACCUAGAAGAAAGCCCCGGCUAACUA